This 73-nucleotide transfer RNA is filed under the name Candidatus Zapsychrus exili. RNAcentral's name for it is "tRNA-Thr". It matches the Rfam family "tRNA". Rfam says of the family: Transfer RNA (tRNA) molecules are approximately 80 nucleotides in length. Their secondary structure includes four short double-helical elements and three loops (D, anti-codon, and T loops). Further hydrogen bonds mediate the characteristic L-shaped molecular structure. tRNAs have two regions of fundamental functional importance: the anti-codon, which is responsible for specific mRNA codon recognition, and the 3' end, to which the tRNAs corresponding amino acid is attached (by aminoacyl-tRNA synthetases). tRNAs cope with the degeneracy of the genetic code in two manners: having more than one tRNA (with a specific anti-codon) for a particular amino acid; and 'wobble' base-pairing, i.e. permitting non-standard base-pairing at the 3rd anti-codon position. The record is from RNAcentral. Lineage: Bacteria; Pseudomonadati; Candidatus Omnitrophota.
GCCCCUGUAGCUCAGCCGGAAGAGUACGUCCUUGGUAAGGACGAGGUCACCGGUUCGAUUCCGGUCGGGGGCU